RNAcentral lists this ribosomal RNA (497 nucleotides) under uncultured bacterium. RNAcentral describes it as "partial 16S ribosomal RNA". It matches the Rfam family "Bacterial small subunit ribosomal RNA", at positions 28 to 507 of the family's 1533-position model. The record is from RNAcentral.
GAUGAACGCUGGCGGCGUGCCUAAUACAUGCAAGUCGAGCGAACAGACGAGGAGCUUGCUCCUCUGACGUUAGCGGCGGACGGGUGAGUAACACGUGGAUAACCUACCUAUAAGACUGGGAUAACUUCGGGAAACCGGAGCUAAUACCGGAUAACAUGUUGAACCGCAUGGUUCAACAGUGAAAGACGGUCUUGCUGUCACUUAUAGAUGGAUCCGCGCCGCAUUAGCUAGUUGGUAAGGUAACGGCUUACCAAGGCAACGAUGCGUAGCCGACCUGAGAGGGUGAUCGGCCACACUGGAACUGAGACACGGUCCAGACUCCUACGGGAGGCAGCAGUAGGGAAUCUUCGGCAAUGGGCGAAAGCCUGACGCAGCAACGCCGCGUGAGUGAAGAAGGUCUUCGGAUCGUAAAACUCUGUUAUUAGGGAAGAACAAAUGUGUAAGUAACUAUGCACGGCUUGACGGUACCUAAUCAGAAAGCAACGGCUAACUACGUG